RNAcentral lists this small nuclear RNA (318 nucleotides) under Neotoma lepida (desert woodrat). Its description in RNAcentral is "7SK RNA". It matches the Rfam family "7SK RNA". From Rfam's summary of the family: 7SK was discovered as an abundant small nuclear RNA in the mid-70s but a possible function has only recently been suggested. Two independent studies have found that 7SK RNA binds the CDK9/cyclin T complex (known as elongation factor P-TEFb). Lineage: Eukaryota; Metazoa; Chordata; Mammalia; Rodentia; Cricetidae. The record is from Rfam by way of RNAcentral.
GGAUGCAAGGACAAUCUGGCUGUGACAUCCGUCAUCCUAUUGAUCACCGAAGGUGAUAGGAGCAAGCUAGCUGGCUAGGUGGGUGUUCCUUUUCUCCCUCACCAUUCCUUGUGUGUCCCUCAAAAAGCUGUGCCCUCCAUCAGUGGAAGAGGAUACUCUUCUCUGAAUUGAGGAGGACUGGUCUUCNGUCAAGGGUCUACAAGUAGCUGUCUCUCCUGCUAGAACCUCCAAACAAGCUCUCAGAGUCAUUUUCUUUAAAACUCCAUAGGUGCAGAGAUCCCAUGUCGGUUGCAUCUUCAGCCUCAGAGUUCUGAAGGC